Molecule: long non-coding RNA, 455 nt
Organism: Vidua chalybeata
Lineage: Eukaryota; Metazoa; Chordata; Aves; Passeriformes; Viduidae
Exons: 4
Source: RefSeq, a predicted model, not a curated record
UGUCACAGUACCACAAGGGCAUUGCAAAGCAAAUUACGAAGGAAGUGGUGCUGGUUCUGUACUAACACUUUCUGUUUAACUUAGCAACAGAAACAACAUGCAGUGCUUCUACAUUCCAUAGCCCAGGACUCUGGAAUGCCAGCAGGGCUUCUGGGGUUUGGAUUUUCUGCUGUUGGAUGGCAGCCUACAAAAAGUGAAAACAGAAAACAAGGAAUGCUUGUAAGAGGCCUUUACACACCAGACAUGAAAUGCUGGAAACCAGAGGGGACAAAAGACAGGUUCAUUGGCUAGCAUGUCAGAAGGCUGUUCUGCUGCUGGAGAAAGCAAUUGGAUCUUCAUUCAUUCACUUGAGGCACCCCUGCUCUGUCAGCACAUGAAAAGCAACAGAAGGAGCAAGAUGAACAAUGACACACAGAUUCUUUGAAAAUGUGCAGUUAUGCAAAAAACAUUCCAGG